GGACAGGGUGGAGACGUCGGGGAAUCCGUGUCCCGUCUCCCACUUGGAGACGGUUUUGGGUUGGAUUCCCAGCCUGUCCGCCA
This 83-nucleotide transfer RNA is filed under the name Clostridia bacterium. RNAcentral describes it as "tRNA-OTHER". Lineage: Bacteria; Bacillati; Bacillota; Clostridia. The record is from RNAcentral.